AUGAGGAAGGAGGUCAGCCCGUAUCCGGCCGUCCAGGCCUGCAUCCUCCUUGAGCGGGAUCAGGUGGACCGCAUGCUAUUUCCAGGUGUUUCCAAGUCCGUUGGGGUGGGGCAUGUAAGACUGCUCCUUGUCAGCUGGCCUCCUGACGCAGCUGUUCAACAGCCUUUCUUCUGGCACGGUGACAAAGCUGACGUGGCUCUUAGCCUAAACGACUCCAUUUUGUGGAGCAGCCAUUUUAAGGGUCCAAAGUUACUUACUUGGAAGAUAAUGAUAUACAGACACUUAAUAACAUAAUGUUUACAAUGCCCAGCAUCCAAAAAAUUCCAAGUUAUGAGAAGCAAGAAAGUAUGACCCAUAAAUAAAAAAAGAACCAGUCAAAAAAAAAAAAAAAAAAAAAAAAAAAAAAGAACCAGUCAAAAGAAACAGACGAGGAAAAAAAAAAAAAGAAGAAACAGACGAGGAUAUUAAAGAAAUAAUGGAAUUUGCGGAAAAGAACUUUAAAAGUUAUUAUAAGUAUGUUCAAGUAUUUAAAGAAUAACAUGAAUAAGAAAGGAGAUGAUAGAUAUAAAUAAAUACUAGAUGGAAAUUCCAGAGCUGGUAAAUAUAAAAUGAAAAGUUUACAGUAUAGGCUUAACAUAUUGGACAUUUUUAAAAAAGAUUUAUUUAUUUAUUUUAGAGAGAGAGAGAGAGUCUUAAGCGGCUCUAUACUGAGCAUGGAGUCUGACACAAGGCUCCAUCUCAUGAUCCUGAAAUCAUGACCUGAGCUGAAACCUAGAGAUGGAUGCUUAACCUACUGCACCACCCAGCACCCCAACAGAUUGUACAUUAUAGAAAAGAUCAGUGAACUUGAAGAUAGAGCAAUAGAAACUAUCUAAACUUUCCUAUAGAGGAGAAAAAAAAAGACUGAAAGAAUGAUCAGGACUUCUCUAACCUAGGCGUAGUCCCAAAGUUGGUGGUAAGGACAAAGGAAUAAUGGCAGAAAGUUUCCAUAUAUUUUUAAAAAGAUUUUAUUUAGGGAUCCCUGGGUGGCUUAGCGGUUUAGCGCCUGCCUUUGGCCCAGGGCAUGAUCCUGGAGACCGGGGAUCGAAUCCCACGUCGGGCUCCUGGUGCAUGGAGCCUGCUUCUCCCUCUGCCUAUGUCUCUGCCUCUCUCUCUCUCUCUCUCUCUCUGUGACUAUCAUAAAUAAAUAAAAAAAAUUAAAAAAAAGAUUUUAUUUAUUUAUUCGUAGAGACACAGAGAGGCAGAGACAUAGGCAGAGGGACAAGCAGGCUCCCUGUGAGGAGCCCAGUGUGGGAAUCAGUCCCAGUACCCUGGAACUACAACCUAAGUCAAAGGCAGACGCUCAACCACUGAGCCACCCAGGCACCCCUGAGAAACUUUCCACAUUUAUUUAUUUAUUGAUUUAUUUUAAGAGAUUUUCUUUAUUUAUUCAUGAGAGACACAGAGAGAGAGGCAGAGACACAGGCUGAGGGAGAAGUAGGCUCCCUGCUGGGAGCCUGAUGUGGGACUAGAUCCCAGGACCCUGGGAUCAUGCCCUGAGCUGAAGGCAGAUGCUCAACCACUGAGCCACCCAGGUGUCCCACGUUUCCAUAUUUAAUAAAACUAUAGCUCCAUGGACCUAAGAAAUUCAACAAACUUCACGAAGAAAAAAAUAUAAAGUAAACCACACCAUGGAACAAUAUAAUCAAAGUAUUAAAAGCCAAUGACAAAAAAAAAAAAAAGUUAAAUUCAGCCAAAGAAACUGUGAAAGAGAUACAUUACAUAUAGGGAACAAAGAUGAGAAUGACUGCAAAAACAAGCCGUUAUUUUUAACAACAUCUUUAAAGUACUAAAAGGAAAAUUUGUCCAUCUAAAAUUCUCUAUCCAUGAAAAGUGUCCUUCAAAAAUGAAAUUAAAGGUUUUUGCAGACAAAUAAAAGCUGAGAGAAUCUGUAGCUAUUAUCUUUACUACAAAAAUGUUAAAUGAAUGUUUUUAAGUAUAUUAUAAUUAUAUAUAUUAAAAUAUAUUAUAAGUAUAAAUC
RNAcentral lists this long non-coding RNA (2020 nucleotides) under Canis lupus familiaris (dog). RNAcentral describes it as "lncRNA (ENSCAFG00000036630.3)". Lineage: Eukaryota; Metazoa; Chordata; Mammalia; Carnivora; Canidae. The record is from RNAcentral.